This is a long non-coding RNA of Harpia harpyja (harpy eagle), 4542 nucleotides long. RefSeq lists it as uncharacterized. Lineage: Eukaryota; Metazoa; Chordata; Aves; Accipitriformes; Accipitridae. The transcript has 4 exons. The record is from RefSeq and is a predicted model, not a curated record.
AGGUGGCCAUGAUAUUUUUGUUUCAGGUUCCUACUUUGUUCCUCCAUGGAUCUGGGAAUGUUCUAAAGCAGGAGAGUUGGUGCGGAGGAGCUGAUGUGACCGCUGCGCGUUUCAUUAGCAGUUGGAGGCCGUUAGAUGUACCCUUGAAGCGCAGCUGCCAACAGCAUCGCAUCUGAAAGAGCACGCUGCAGCAUGAAUAAAAGCACACCUGAAGAAAUUGAAAUGACUGGAGGAGAUGAGCAGUGAGAGAACAUGCUGUUGGACUAAUUGAAGUGAUGAACUUCAGUUGUCUAAAGACAGAAAUAGAUACGUUGAUUCCCUUUUGAGGCCCCUAACUGCAUUCAGAGUCACUUUGCUUUGCUUUCCCUCCCAAAGAAGAGCGCAAGCUAUUUGAGAGAGACCCUGCCCCUUCGCCUCUAAGCUGGGUUAAGUCGUAUCAUGACCAGGGGAGGUGAAAAUCUCUUGCUUCAGCUGCAGUUAGACGACUGUUAUUAUAUCGCCACUAAACAAAACCUCUCGAUAGUUUUUUUUUGCACUGUGUCCCCGGUAGCCCUCUUCUUAGGUUUGUUUUCAGGUGAUAAAUUUUUCUAACACUUUGUAUGUGUGUAGGCGGGGUGACAGACCAGUGUCCCAUUCUUAAAUUGCAAAGGGUUUAGCUCUGUGUAGUGUAUCGCAUGUUCAGCUUGAAGAAUAAUCUCCACGCAUUUCCUUUGUUUAGGCAUAAAAACCACCUCUCAGCUUAUGCCAGCAUAAGAAGUGUUUAGCCUCUUUUUAGAAAUCCGACUUCAGGAAUUUUGUUUUGUUCACAUAUAUGAGCAAUGAGGGUGUACUCUUGAAGACAUAGUUCCUGGAAAAGAAAGCAAGGUGUAGUGAAAAAUGUGAAUUAACCAGUCCUAAUUGGUUAGGUUGACACCUAGGUUAGCAUGCUUAGAAUCUGGUGCAACUCCAGUGAGGUCAGGAUGAAGUCUGCAUCUACAUCUUUUAACCCAGGGUAUGAGAAUGCCAAUAAUACGUAGACUGCAAACUAUGUUUUCCAUUAAUUUGUUAGGGUGAAAAAAAGCCUUCACAUAUAUGCCAAAUGUAGAGCUAGGAAUAGCAAUUUUAUUUUAAACUUUUCCAUUGUGUAACUAGACAGGUCCUCUGCUUAUUAAAUUCAUUGCUUCAUUCAGUGCCUGCCUUUGUGGUUUUUAGCGUCUGGCCAACUUGUAUUUCAAGAAUAUCCUCUUAUUUUUGUCUAUCCAAACUUAGUGAGGCUUUGUCACCUACUGGUAUGGAAAAAUAUAAACCACUUGAAUUUCAUGGUUAGGGAAUAGAUUCUAAACUUUAUAUAUCCUAUAUGCAAUGCAUGUAAAAUCAUAAAAAAUUCCUUCUCUUUUCCAGUGCAGGUCUCCAGGUGCUCAGAAUCAGUAAGAAUUUCAGUUUCCCUGUACAGCUGUUACUAAUUACCUGAUCUCACUGUUUUACUCUCACUUUCUCUGUUCCGCCUUCAUCCCUCUCCCAGUUAUGAAUUACUAGCAUUAUGAAGAAGGCACGCUCUUCGUUUUGUUGAACGUUGUAAAAAAUUCACUAGAAUCAUAUAAGAAUUUAUCCUGCUGCUGGCAGAAAGCAGCUCUACAAACAAUGUGCUCCUUUGUUUGCCCGAAGCAUAGUAACAAAUGGAUUAUGUGUAACAGCCAUCUAUAGGGCUUUUAUUUCAUCUCCAUUCAGGCUCUGCGUGUUUUGCACUGCUUUUAAUGAGGCUGCCUGAACUAUGGUAACCCCACGGUACAUUUGUAAGCAAGAGAUAUUAGAUGAAUCAGCCCCUUCCAGGACUGCAUUAUGAGGUGAUCUGCUUUCAUUACAGGAUUUAUUUUAUAGGUGGUAGACCUCAGUGAGAGGAUAUUGCGGGCACAAGCGGCACUUAUCUGCUCUGUAAGGCCAAGUUCAGGGUCUGCAUGAAUAUGAAUCUCCUUUCCCACAGUCAAACCUCCAUUCGUUGCGUGGCUUGAAACACAACCUUUUUUGUGCAUGACCUCUCCUUUGCUCCCCUUCUGCUUCAGGCUCAUACUGGAAUGAUUGAUAGUCCUUUAUAAAAUACUCCAUAAAGAACUAUUUUACUUCCCCAUCAGCAUGAAAGCUUGGGUCACCCUCCCCCCCAAAACAAGUACAAACCCCAGCAUCUCGCAGCAGAAUGAAAAGCCUCUUCUUCCUUCUGCCUUUCUGAAGCGUGAAGGUUUCCUCUCUGGAACUAGAAAUGUUUCUUCCCUGGCAAUAGAGCUCACUGUUGUCAAAACCAACCAAACACAUAUUCAUGUAAGUACAGAUAGAUGCCUUCUUUUUUCUCUGGAGGCCUAUGAAGGUUUUACUUUUUUGCUCUUUUUUUUUAACAUCGUUUACAAAUUUUACCAGAGCAAACCAGGAUUCACAAGUAGCAUAGUGCCUUAUUUAAGUCUUUUGUGGUUUGUUUGAACGUAAUCUGUUCUCAAGACCUUCCAUUUGUUCUGCUGCUCUUCAGUCACUCCCAGAAUCAAAACUGAGUAGACUUCGCAUAGGAAAUAUUGUUGCAAUACAGAAGACAAUUGUAAGCAUGAUAACAAAGUAGAUGAUAAAACCAAAGCCAAGUGGCAGCUCAGAGGCCUCAUCUUCCUCCACUCUGGACACGUUUUCUGUAUGUUGCUGGAAGCGUUUAGCUGUUAAAAAUUAUAGCUCAGGCAAUUCUUGACUUUGUAUGUAGAGGACCCCGUGAAAAACUGGGGAUGGUGGAAGAAAUACAAGACAUGCCAUUGCUUUGGAUAACACCCAGAACAGGACUAGAGAUUCGAGAAGUCACUGUUGAUAAGUUUUCAGAUUUCAUGGUUGGAAGGUGGCUUUGGCAAGGAAUUACUGGCAGUAAGGUAAAAUCAGGUUGAACCGUGAAUUGCUAAGUCUUAAUGAGAAUCCUAACAGCACAGGGCUGCAAGUAACACCUUGUGGUAAUUGUAGUCUUUGCUAGCUAGCAGCAGUGAAAAGCAAAGCCCUGGGAUUAAAAGUACCGUGAACAAAAAGGGAGAGGUCAUAUAAAACAGCUUGUUGUUAUAGGAAAAGAAAAAAGUCUAAUGAUGAAGACAAAUCAAUUAGCAAAGAAAACUGCUUGGGGGAAGACUUUCAAAUUUUCUAGGUUGUGGGUUGGUUUUUUUUUCCUUUCAAUAACAAAUCAACUGCAAACAUUCCUCUCUCCAGCUGCAUUUUGUGUAAAAACACACAGUGGCAGACUCAGGGAAUUCACCAGCUAUUUUAUUCUUAGUUUUACUUUUUAAUAGAGAAAUCCUUUCCAUUUUCCAAGCACUUCUAAUUUCUGAUUUUACUAGUGCAAUCAUAGCCCCUCUGCUGCAUACAUUUCCUGCAUACAUUCAUAAACACGUGUGUGCAUGCGUGUACGAGAUGUACCAAGGUAAAGAGAGACAGACCCUGAAUGCACUAGUGGAUGCGUGGGUUUGCUGUAAUACCUCAGUUUUGGCUUCAUCAUUUUUUGUGUCAAUCUCCAAACGCCAAUACCUGGAAAUGAGAGACUGAACUGCCUGGAAGGCAACUUCUGAUCUCCUGAAUGAAAAUGAUCCUUAUGCUUUAUGUGCAUGCACUGUAUGUCGUUGAGCUGCAGAAAUAGGCAGCACCUGCAUACUCUUGAGAAAUGGACUGUAAUAGAAAGAAGAUUACAAACGUAUUUGGAAGCACUUAAAAAGGCUAAUGAUUGAGGGGAGGGCUUUUUUUAAUGAAUAUUUGUGUUGCUGGGUGAUAAGCGUGGGUUUACUUAGUAGGGCUUUUCUGGUUAUUUGUACUUUGACUCUAUGUUUUAAUGAGUAUAAAGGCAUGCAGAUCAAAUAUCUGGGCACUUUUUUUCAUUAUAAUUAACACUUAAUGAAUUAAUUUCCAACCUUUAAUUAGACUGAAUUUAAAUACAGCACGUUUCAAACUCAAGACUUUGGAAGGCAUUUAAAAGGAUGAAACUGCAUGCUGUCAGACACCUAUUCUGCAAGUUUAAAUGAUACCAUGUCUUGGGAAGUUUAAUCUGAAAGGUGAGUUGACUGGUACUUCGGAAGUUGAUCCAAUUUUAAGGUGAGAGAUGUUUCAGAUAACAUGGAGUGCUUAAUCCUUUCCACUCAUCCUCCUCCCCUUUCACUCAAGGUCUAAUAUUUUCUUAGGAAAAUCUGGUUAUAUGCUUUCAGUGUCUCGCCCCUUUGCAAACAAGCUGUAAGCUUCCAUUGCUUUUCAUUCCCGCUGGAUCUGUUGAGAGGCUGUCACUAUUGUGAGCAACAAAAUGUUUGGAUGUGUCACCCCAGGAGUCAGUCUUUGAUGGGCUGAGAGAAAGCAGAAUGAAGACUGGAAAAGUAAAGCUCGUUAACAAGUUAGUUAACAAACAGAAAUCCUGUAUUUACUACCUUCUACUGUGAAGGAAGCUCAAAUAUUUAAUAGGACCUUUCUACGUCGGCUGUCUGGCAAGAUCACACAAGUGUGAGAAUUAUUAAGUGUCUUUCUGUGGCAACCUAUCUCUAUAAGAAUGUAACUCAUUUUCAAAAUUAAAACUGA